RNAcentral lists this ribosomal RNA (484 nucleotides) under uncultured bacterium. Its description in RNAcentral is "partial 16S ribosomal RNA". It matches the Rfam family "Bacterial small subunit ribosomal RNA", at positions 28 to 523 of the family's 1533-position model. The record is from RNAcentral.
GACGAACGCUGGCGGCGUGCUUAACACAUGCAAGUCGAACGAUGAAGCUGGAGCUUGCUCUAGCGGAUUAGUGGCGAACGGGUGAAUAACACGUGAGCAAUCUGCCCUUGACUCUGGGAUAACUGCGGGAAACUGUAGCUAAUACCGGAUACUUUCACCGGGGGGCAUCCUCUGGUGAUGAAAGAAUUUCGGUCAAGGAUGAGCUCGCGGCCUAUCAGCUUGUUGGUGAGGUAACGGCUCACCAAGGCGACGACGGGUAACCGGCCGGAGAGGGUGACCGGUCACACUGGGACUGAGACACGGCCCAGACUCCUACGGGAGGCAGCAGUGGGGAAUAUUGCACAAUGGGCGCAAGCCUGAUGCAGCAACGCCGCGUGAGGGAUGAAGGCCUUCGGGUUGUAAACCUCUUUUAGCAGGGAAGAAGCGAAAGUGACGGUACCUGCAGAAAAAGCACCGGCUAACUACGUGCCAGCCGCCGCAGUAA